Molecule: ribosomal RNA, 605 nt
Filed under: Hypocreales sp. Vl-15
Lineage: Eukaryota; Fungi; Ascomycota; Sordariomycetes; Hypocreales
Also listed under: 1 other name
Description: LSU rRNA
Rfam family: Eukaryotic large subunit ribosomal RNA
Source: RNAcentral
UGCAUAUCAAUAAGCGGAGGAAAAGAAACCAACAGGGAUUGCCCCAGUAACGGCGAGUGAAGCGGCAACAGCUCAAAUUUGAAAUCUGGCCCUUGGGUCCGAGUUGUAAUUUGUAGAGGAUGCUUUUGGCGAGGUGCCUUCCGAGUUCCCUGGAACGGGACGCCAUAGAGGGUGAGAGCCCCGUCUGGUCGGACACCGAGCCUCUGUAAAGCUCCUUCGACGAGUCGAGUAGUUUGGGAAUGCUGCUCAAAAUGGGAGGUAUAUGUCUUCUAAAGCUAAAUAUUGGCCAGAGACCGAUAGCGCACAAGUAGAGUGAUCGAAAGAUGAAAAGCACUUUGAAAAGAGGGUUAAAAAGUACGUGAAAUUGUUGAAAGGGAAGCGCCUAUGACCAGACUUGGGCCCGGUGAAUCAUCCAGCGUUCUCGCUGGUGCACUUUGCCGGGCACAGGCCAGCAUCAGUUUGGCGCGGGGGAAAAAGGCUUUGGGAAUGUGGCUCCCUCGGGAGUGUUAUAGCCCAUUGUGUAAUACCCUGCGCCGGACUGAGGUACGCGCAUUGCAAGGAUGCUGGCGUAAUGGUCAUCAGCGACCCGUCUUGAAACACGGACC